CCACUUCUAAAGAUUAAAAAAACCCCUACGAUUAAAAACCUCAGGUCCCUCAGGCAAUCAUACCAGAUAUUGAAACAAAGCAAUAACAUAAGGACUGCAGUAUUCAUUUUAUUUUUAUAUUAUUUAUUUAUUCUUCCUUAGUUUCUUGAGAUUAUCAUCCGCUGAGGGUGGAAGGGGAGUGAGCAGACACACUCAGGAGGUGUCUUGAGAUUAUCAUCCGCUGAGGGUGGAAGGGGAUAGAGCACACACUCGGAAGGUGUCUUGAGAUUAUCAUCCGCUGAGGGUAGAGCUGAGGGUGGAAGGGGAGUGAGCAGACACUCGGGAGGUGUCUUGAGAUUAUCAUCCGCUGAGGGUGGAAGGGGAUAGAGCACACACUCGGAAGGUGUCUUGAGGCUCAGGG
RNAcentral lists this long non-coding RNA (400 nucleotides) under Homo sapiens (human). Its description in RNAcentral is "HSALNT0384736". The record is from RNAcentral. Lineage: Eukaryota; Metazoa; Chordata; Mammalia; Primates; Hominidae.